RNAcentral lists this ribosomal RNA (661 nucleotides) under Arthrobacter sp. TN155C. Its description in RNAcentral is "bacterial SSU rRNA". It matches the Rfam family "Bacterial small subunit ribosomal RNA", at positions 8 to 684 of the family's 1533-position model. Lineage: Bacteria; Bacillati; Actinomycetota; Actinomycetes; Micrococcales; Micrococcaceae. The record is from RNAcentral.
AGAGUUUGAUCAUGGCUCAGGAUGAACGCUGGCGGCGUGCUUAACACAUGCAAGUCGAACGAUGAUGCCAGCUUGCUGGUGGAUUAGUGGCGAACGGGUGAGUAACACGUGAGUAACCUGCCCUUGACUCUGGGAUAAGCCUGGGAAACUGGGUCUAAUACCGGAUAUGACCUUCCAUCGCAUGGUGGUUGGUGGAAAGCUUUUGUGGUUUUGGAUGGACUCGCGGCCUAUCAGCUUGUUGGUGGGGUAAUGGCCUACCAAGGCGACGACGGGUAGCCGGCCUGAGAGGGUGACCGGCCACACUGGGACUGAGACACGGCCCAGACUCCUACGGGAGGCAGCAGUGGGGAAUAUUGCACAAUGGGCGCAAGCCUGAUGCAGCGACGCCGCGUGAGGGAUGACGGCCUUCGGGUUGUAAACCUCUUUCAGUAGGGAAGAAGCGUAAGUGACGGUACCUGCAGAAGAAGCGCCGGCUAACUACGUGCCAGCAGCCGCGGUAAUACGUAGGGCGCAAGCGUUAUCCGGAAUUAUUGGGCGUAAAGAGCUCGUAGGCGGUUUGUCGCGUCUGCCGUGAAAGUCCGGGGCUCAACUCCGGAUCUGCGGUGGGUACGGGCAGACUAGAGUGAUGUAGGGGAGACUGGAAUUCCUGGUGUAGCGGUGA